RNAcentral lists this ribosomal RNA (873 nucleotides) under Neohelicosporium guangxiense. Its description in RNAcentral is "partial large subunit ribosomal RNA". It matches the Rfam family "Eukaryotic large subunit ribosomal RNA", at positions 37 to 936 of the family's 3401-position model. Lineage: Eukaryota; Fungi; Ascomycota; Dothideomycetes; Tubeufiales; Tubeufiaceae. The record is from RNAcentral.
AGCAUAUCAAUAAGCGGAGGAAAAGAAACCAACAGGGAUUGCCUCAGUAACGGCGAGUGAAGCGGCAACAGCUCAAAUUUGAAAUCUGGCUUCGGUCCGAGUUGUAAUUUGUAGAGGAUGCUUCGGCUUACGUACCGGUCUAAGUUCCUUGGAACAGGACGUCACAGAGGGUGAGAAUCCCGUUUGUGGCCGGCACUUCCGCCAUGUGAAGCUCCUUCGACGAGUCGAGUUGUUUGGGAAUGCAGCUCUAAAUGGGAGGUAAAUUUCUUCUAAAGCUAAAUACCGGCCAGAGACCGAUAGCGCACAAGUAGAGUGAUCGAAAGAUGAAAAGCACUUUGGAAAGAGAGUUAAAAAGUACGUGAAAUUGUUGAAAGGGAAGCGCUUGCGACCAGACUUGCCCGCGGAUGCUCAACCGGUCCUUCGGCCGGUGCACUCUUCCGCGGUCAGGCCAGCAUCAGUUCGGGCGGUCGGAUAAAGGCCUUGGGAAUGUGGCUCUCUUCGGGGAGUGUUAUAGCCCUUGGUGCAAUACGGCCCGCCUGGACUGAGGCCCGCGCUUCGGCUAGGAUGCUGGCGUAAUGGUCGUAAGCGGCCCGUCUUGAAACACGGACCAAGGAGUCUAACAUCUAUGCGAGUGUUUGGGUGUCAAACCCGUGCGCGAAAUGAAAGUGAACGGAGGUGGGAACCUUAGGGUGCACCAUCGACCGAUCCUGAUGUCUUCGGAUGGAUUUGAGUAAGAGCAUAGCUGUUGGGACCCGAAAGAUGGUGAACUAUGCCUGAAUAGGGUGAAGCCAGAGGAAACUCUGGUGGAGGCUCGCAGCGGUUCUGACGUGCAAAUCGAUCGUCAAAUUUGGGUAUAGGGGCGAAAGACUAAUC